This 492-nucleotide ribosomal RNA is filed under the name uncultured bacterium. RNAcentral describes it as "partial 16S ribosomal RNA". It matches the Rfam family "Bacterial small subunit ribosomal RNA", at positions 29 to 507 of the family's 1533-position model. The record is from RNAcentral.
AGUGAACGCUGGCGGUAGGCCUAACACAUGCAAGUCGAACGGCAGCACAGUAAGAGCUUGCCCUUACGGGUGGCGAGUGGCGGACGGGUGAGGAAUACAUCGGAAUCUACUUUUUCGUGGGGGAUAACGUAGGGAAACUUACGCUAAUACCGCAUACGACCUACGGGUGAAAGCAGGGGAUCUUCGGACCUUGCGUGAUUGAAUGAGCCGAUGUCGGAUUAGCUAGUUGGCGGGGUAAAGGCCCACCAAGGCGACGAUCCGUAGCUGGUCUGAGAGGAUGAUCAGCCACACUGGAACUGAGACACGGUCCAGACUCCUACGGGAGGCAGCAGUGGGGAAUAUUGGACAAUGGGCGCAAGCCUGAUCCAGCCAUACCGCGUGGGUGAAGAAGGCCUUCGGGUUGUAAAGCCCUUUUGUUGGGAAAGAAAAGCAGCAGGUUAAUACCCCGCUGUUCUGACGGUACCCAAAGAAUAAGCACCGGCUAACUUCGUG